UACAGAGGUCUCAAGCGUUGUUCGGAUUCAUUGGGCGUAAAGGGUGCGUAGGCGGCGCGGUAAGUCGGGUGUGAAAUCUCGGGGCUUAACUCCGAAACUGCAUUCGAUACUGCCGUGCUUGAGGACUGGAGAGGAGACUGGAAUUUACGGUGUAGCGGUGAAAUGCGUAGAUAUCGGGAGGAACACCAGUGGCGAAGGCGGCUGCCUGGGCCAGUUCUGACGCUGAGGCGCGAAAGCGUGGGGAGCAAACAGG
This 253-nucleotide ribosomal RNA is filed under the name uncultured bacterium. Its description in RNAcentral is "partial 16S ribosomal RNA". It matches the Rfam family "Bacterial small subunit ribosomal RNA", at positions 524 to 776 of the family's 1533-position model. The record is from RNAcentral.